RNAcentral lists this ribosomal RNA (580 nucleotides) under uncultured bacterium. Its description in RNAcentral is "bacterial SSU rRNA". It matches the Rfam family "Bacterial small subunit ribosomal RNA", at positions 102 to 678 of the family's 1533-position model. The record is from RNAcentral.
ACGGGUGAGUAAUGUCUGGGAAACUGCCUGAUGGAGGGGGAUAACUACUGGAAACGGUAGCUAAUACCGCAUAACGUCGCAAGACCAAAGAGGGGGACCUUCGGGCCUCUUGCCAUCAGAUGUGCCCAGAUGGGAUUAGCUAGUAGGUGGGGUAACGGCUCACCUAGGCGACGAUCCCUAGCUGGUCUGAGAGGAUGACCAGCCACACUGGAACUGAGACACGGUCCAGACUCCUACGGGAGGCAGCAGUGGGGAAUAUUGCACAAUGGGCGCAAGCCUGAUGCAGCCAUGCCGCGUGUGUGAAGAAGACCUUCGGGUUGUAAAGCACUUUCAGCGGGGAGGAAGGGGGUAAGGUUAAUAACCUUAUUCAUUGACGUUACCCGCAGAAGAAGCACCGGCUAACUCCGUGCCAGCAGCCGCGGUAAUACGGAGGGUGCAAGCGUUAAUCGGAAUUACUGGGCGUAAAGCGCACGCAGGCGGUCUGUCAAGUCGGAUGUGAAAUCCCCGGGCUCAACCUGGGAACUGCAUUCGAAACUGGCAGGCUAGAGUCUUGUAGGGGGGGGUAGAAUUCCAGGUGUAG